GGAGGGUAUAGCUCAGUGGUAGAGUGCUUGCUUAGCAUGCAGGAGGUCCUGGGUUCAAUCCCCAGUACCUCCA
Molecule: transfer RNA, 73 nt
Filed under: Vicugna pacos (alpaca)
Lineage: Eukaryota; Metazoa; Chordata; Mammalia; Artiodactyla; Camelidae
Description: tRNA-Ala (AGC) (tRNA-Ala-AGC-107-1)
Rfam family: tRNA
About the family: Transfer RNA (tRNA) molecules are approximately 80 nucleotides in length. Their secondary structure includes four short double-helical elements and three loops (D, anti-codon, and T loops). Further hydrogen bonds mediate the characteristic L-shaped molecular structure. tRNAs have two regions of fundamental functional importance: the anti-codon, which is responsible for specific mRNA codon recognition, and the 3' end, to which the tRNAs corresponding amino acid is attached (by aminoacyl-tRNA synthetases). tRNAs cope with the degeneracy of the genetic code in two manners: having more than one tRNA (with a specific anti-codon) for a particular amino acid; and 'wobble' base-pairing, i.e. permitting non-standard base-pairing at the 3rd anti-codon position.
Source: RNAcentral